AACGAACGCUGGCGGCAGGCCUAACACAUGCAAGUCGAGCGAGAAGCUUUCUUCGGAAAGUGGACAGCGGCGGACGGGUGAGUAAUGCGUGGGUAUAUGCCCUUUGGUACGGAAUAGCCCUUGGAAACGAGGAGUAAUACCGUAUGUGCCCUACGGGGGAAAGAUUUAUCGCCAAAGGAUUAGCCCACGUUGGAUUAGCUUGUUGGUGAGGUAAAGGCUCACCAAGGCAACGAUCUAUAGCUGGUUUGAGAGGAUGAUCAGCCACACUGGGACUGAGACACGGCCCAGACUCCUACGGGAGGCAGCAGUGGGGAAUAUUAGACAAUGGGCGCAAGCCUGAUCUAGCCAUGCCGCGUGAGUGAAGAAGGCCCUAGGGUUGUAAAGCUCUUUCAGAUGUGAGGAUGAUGACAGUAACAUCAGAAGAAGCCCCGGCUAACUUCG
Molecule: ribosomal RNA, 441 nt
Filed under: uncultured Kiloniellales bacterium
Lineage: Bacteria; Pseudomonadati; Pseudomonadota; Alphaproteobacteria; Rhodospirillales
Description: bacterial SSU rRNA
Rfam family: Bacterial small subunit ribosomal RNA
Source: RNAcentral